This 245-nucleotide ribosomal RNA is filed under the name uncultured bacterium. Its description in RNAcentral is "partial 16S ribosomal RNA". It matches the Rfam family "Bacterial small subunit ribosomal RNA", at positions 524 to 768 of the family's 1533-position model. The record is from RNAcentral.
UACGGAGGGUGCAAGCGUUGUUCGGAAUUACUGGGCGUAAAGCGCGUGUAGGCGGUUUGGUAAGUCAGAUAUGAAAGCCCUGGGCUUAACUCAGGAAGUGCAUUUGAAACUACCAAACUCGAGUAUGGGAGAGGAGAGUGGAAUUCCCAGUGUAGAGGUGAAAUUCGUAGAUAUUGGGAGGAACACCCGUGGCGAAGGCGACUCUCUGGACCAAUACCGACGCUGAGACGCGGAAGCGUGGGGAG